GGCUGACUAUAGAUAAUACAAACUGCCGAUUGGUAGAUUUUUACGCUUAGCCACUCCCAUUUUUAACACCUGCCCUGGCCGUUAUAACUCUUUCCCCAAAAUAACUUGUUCGAGCCUUUUAUAAUACAGAGUCUUACAGGCUCCGCCUACAUUUUAGUGAAUAUAAAUUCACCAUCCUUUUAGCAAAGUCCCAUACUCUACCUUUCUUCAAAUCAGGAGCUGUCUGACGUUAAACGGUCUUUGCUGAUAAGUUGCUACAGUCGUCAAGAAUACAACUAAAAAGAUGUCCAUCUCCGAGGAAACGAUUUUGUCACUCUCCAAAGCUGUCGGACAAAGCCCCCAAUUUGCAACUUUGUGUCUCAAUCUCGGAUUCACUGCUGACCAAGCUGCAGCGUAUGAGGCACAGAACAACACCUCCGCAUGCAACGGAGCACUGAAGAUGCUCAAUAAGUGGCAAGACCAAGUCAAGAAACCUGGAGACCAACCACCAUUGAUGAGGAAAGCACUGCAGGAAUCGAAUAUGGGCGAAAUUGCUAAUAAAUAUUUCCCCAUAACCUAAGCUUUUCCGGCUUCAACGACUCCUGCAUUUUGGAGAAGCGUUAAACAACCUGGAUGCCCUGGUUGUUCUGAAAAGAAACUUAGAAAUGCUGGUUCACAUCUAAAGUUCUACGGAGAUGGGUUUCAACAUUUUAUAACAUUUUAUUCAACUAUAGGCUUAGAUUUUGAUGGCUGUUAUUUUCAUUGACUAAACAUAAGACGUCGUUAAAGUAGUUUUUUAAAGACAGUAAACAAACCUACCAAUGUUCCAUUCAAAUGAUUUGAUUUUGUUCGGAGGAUUGAUCAAACACAUGUGACAGUCCUACCUUCUGUGACUAAACUUUAAUUAGAAUGUCGAGGUGAAACAUAUUUCCACUGCUACGGCGUUGAUUUACUGCAAGAGAACCAAACCCAUCGAAUCUAUGUACUCACUUCAAAAUGGGUUCCCUUACAAUAAAUAUCAUCAAGAUUUUGUUUUAUUAUUAAGAUUCAUGAAGCUUUUUUCAUUCUAUUGAUAGUCUUAAUUCAUUCAUAUCUCCAUAACGAAUACAUGUAUCAGCGCAAAUCUUUAUUUAAUUAAGAAAUAUUGAGACCCCUAAUGAUUAUUGAUGAUACGAUAUUGAAUAAUGUCAUGAAUACACCAUUUUCAUUUCACUGCAAUAAUAUUUCUGCAAAUCACCGUGUGUUAUUUCAAUGAGUAGAGGAAUUCUUACACAUAUAUCUUUCUUACUGUUAUUCGAUUUCUUGGUACAUUUUUGUAAUCAUUUAAGAGUUAACUUCUACAAAAUAUGUUUUCAGGUCGUAUAUUUUCUAAUGCUUACGGGAAUUUUCUUCUUAAGGACUCAUUUAAAAAAUAAUUACACCCCCUGUAAUAGAUUUGUUUUGUUUUGUGCUUUUUGAUGCAUUUAUUAUCUGGUAGAGAUCCGUUAAAUACUUUCGCAUUUGUAGGCUCAUGGCUGUCGAAAAUAAAUAAGGAUGGACCAGCAGU
Strongylocentrotus purpuratus (purple sea urchin) is the source of this 1525-nucleotide long non-coding RNA. RefSeq lists it as uncharacterized. The transcript is spliced from 3 exons. Lineage: Eukaryota; Metazoa; Echinodermata; Echinoidea; Camarodonta; Strongylocentrotidae. The record is from RefSeq and is a predicted model, not a curated record.